This 240-nucleotide unclassified non-coding RNA is filed under the name Paraglomerales sp. RNAcentral's name for it is "partial contains 5.8S ribosomal RNA and internal transcribed spacer 2". The stretch from base 1 to 66 matches the Rfam family "5.8S ribosomal RNA", at positions 84 to 154 of the family's 154-position model. The record is from RNAcentral. Lineage: Eukaryota; Fungi; Glomeromycota; Glomeromycetes; Paraglomerales.
GUGAAUCAUCGAAUUUUUGAACGCAAAUUGCGCCUUCUUUCGGGAGGCAUGUCUGUUUGAGGGCACCAUUUAACAACUAAUGUGAGCGUCGUCUGUGCAUACUAGCGGCGUGCACACUUUGAUGAGCUUUUCCGAGAAAACCAGGUUUUUUCGGUGGCGCAUAAUGAACGCCGUGGUCUUUUUCUUUCGUUUCUCGUGUAGUAAGCAAAUUUCGACGCUUUGGUCGUGAAAAAUUCCGUG